UAAAAGUGCAUAUCGUCCU
RNAcentral lists this non-coding RNA (19 nucleotides) under Arabidopsis thaliana (thale cress). Lineage: Eukaryota; Viridiplantae; Streptophyta; Magnoliopsida; Brassicales; Brassicaceae. The record is from RNAcentral.